This 459-nucleotide ribosomal RNA is filed under the name uncultured Streptococcus sp. RNAcentral's name for it is "partial 16S ribosomal RNA". It matches the Rfam family "Bacterial small subunit ribosomal RNA", at positions 341 to 792 of the family's 1533-position model. The record is from RNAcentral. Lineage: Bacteria; Bacillati; Bacillota; Bacilli; Lactobacillales; Streptococcaceae.
ACGGAAGGCAGCAGUGGGGAAUCUUCGGCAAUGGGGGCAACCCUGACCGAGCAACGCCGCGUGAGUGAAGAAGGUUUUCGGAUCGUAAAGCUCUGUUGUAAGAGAAGAACGUGUGUGAGAGUGGAAAGCUCACACAGUGACGGUAACUUACCAGAAAGGGACGGCUAACUACGUGCCAGCAGCCGCGGUAAUACGUAGGUCCCGAGCGUUGUCCGGAUUUAUUGGGCGUAAAGCGAGCGCAGGCGGUUUAAUAAGUCUGAAGUUAACGGCAGUGGCUUACCCAUUGUUCGCUUUGGCAACUGUUAGCCUUGAGUGCAGAAGGGGAGAGUGGAAUUCCAUGUGUAGCGGUGAAAUGCGUCGCUAUAUGGAGGAACGCCGGUGGCGCAAGCGGCUCUCUGGUCUGUAACUGACGCUGAGUCUCUAAAGCGUGUGGAGCAAACAGGAUUAGAUACCCUGGUA